This 1052-nucleotide long non-coding RNA is filed under the name Helianthus annuus (common sunflower). The record is from RNAcentral. Lineage: Eukaryota; Viridiplantae; Streptophyta; Magnoliopsida; Asterales; Asteraceae.
AUUGAGAAACCGUCAUUUGAAUGUCCACCAUUUGAAUGUCCACCCUCACAGUCUGUAUUCUUCAAAGGCAUUUUAUGUUUUCCAUUUUAUGUGAAACCCUCAUUAUUCUUUGAUUUCCUCCCAAUCUCUCAUCUCUUUCCUAUUUUUCCUAUUACAAAUCUGCAACCAAGAGUCUCUCAAGUUUCAACAAACCCGCCACACACCUUUGUUCGAAGUGCUUGUGGUCCAGCGAGAAAGAGAGGCGCAAUAUCGGCUAGGGUUUCAAGCACGGUUGACUUUCCGGCGGCUUAAUACGACCCCUCUCCGACAAUCGUCACUGAAAAUUUUUGUUUCUUCUCUUGACUUUGGUUCUGUUCAAAUCAGUAUAAAUUAAUUUUGGGAUUUAAUUUAAUUUGGUCUUUGACCAGGUGCUUGCAUUUGUAAAUUGAAGCCAUUUUGGAGACUCUGGAAUAGUACAGAAGUGACGGUCGUGGAGUAAUAGGUGUGUUGGAGGCUAAUUUUGUAGAACCAGCUCAUGAUAAACAAGGAUUCAAGCACACCAUUGUUCUUUUAAGACUUGAAGCACGUCUUAUUCAGAUGCAGUAGACAUAUUGAUUAAGACUGAUAAAGUUAGCGAUCUUUCGCUACGAGGCUUCUGAGCGAAACGUAAGGGAGUUCUUUUCCUUUUCGGGAGAUAUUGUUUAUGUUGACACGCCAAGCUACCAGUGGUCAUAGUGGAGCUGAAGAGGUGGCUUUAGGACAUUGAGGUUGUUAUUGUGAUCAGAUUGUCAUAUAUUGAUUCUGUUUGAAACUUCAUCCCAAUAUGUUCCUGUUUGCAGUUUUUGUUAUAAUUUUUAGUAUAGGUUAUCAUAAUUCUAGAUGGAAAUAGAAAGGAUGCACUUUUAUAUCAUUUAUGUUGACUUCAAAAGUCAAACAUUGCGUUUUUCAAUUUCUAUUUAUUUAAUUUUGGUAUAUAAGGAUAAUGUAGAUAUAUCUUGAUUUGGGUAUUUGUGGGUGAGAGUUAUAAUAACUGGAUGGUAGAUAACAUUGCAUUUUUAAAUCUUUUCUGUUGA